Molecule: unclassified non-coding RNA, 334 nt
Filed under: soil metagenome
Description: partial contains 5.8S ribosomal RNA, internal transcribed spacer 2, and large subunit ribosomal RNA
Rfam family: 5.8S ribosomal RNA (bases 1-118)
Source: RNAcentral
GAUGAAGAACGUAGAAAUGCGAUAAGUAGUGUGAAUUGCAGAAUUCAGUGAAUCAUCGAAUCUUUGAACGCACAUUGCGCCCCAUGGUAUUCCGUGGGGCAUGCCUGUUCGAGCGUCAUUUACCCCCUCAAGCUCCGCUUGGUGUUGGGCGUCUGUCCCGCUUCGCGCGCGGACUCGCCCCAAAGGUAUUGGCAGCGGUCGUGCCAGCUUCUCGCGCAGCACAUUGCGCUUCUCGAGGCACCGGUGGGCCCGCGUCCAUCAAGCUCACCCCCCCAGUUUGACCUCGGAUCAGGUAGGGAUACCCGCUGAACUUAAGCAUAUCAAUAGCGGAGGA